Molecule: ribosomal RNA, 301 nt
Filed under: uncultured bacterium
Lineage: Bacteria
Description: partial 16S ribosomal RNA
Rfam family: Bacterial small subunit ribosomal RNA
Source: RNAcentral
CAGCCGCCACGGUAACACGUAGGUGGCAAGCGUUGUCCGGAAUUAUUGGGCGUAAAGGGCUCGCAGGCGGUUUCUUAAGUCUGAUGUGAAAGCCCCCGGCUCAACCGGGGAGGGUCAUUGGAAACUGGGAAACUUGAGUGCAGAAGAGGAGAGUGGAAUUCCACGUGUAGCGGUGAAAUGCGUAGAGAUGUGGAGGAACACCAGUGGCGAAGGCGACUCUCUGGUCUGUCACUGACGCUGAGGCUCGAAAGCGUGGGUAGCGAACAGGAUUAGAUACCCCAGUAGUCCCUGUCUCUUAUAC